AGAAAAUACAUAUGUUGAUUGCUGCUUUUGAAGUAAAAUGAGAUCCAUUAUAUUUCUCCAGGUUCUGGGUCACCUUGGCCUACCUUUGGAAGUGUUUGAUUGUGGACCAGGGUAUUUGAAAGUUGGGGGAGUUUGUUCUGAUGUAGAUGAAUGUUUGACUGGGAUGAUCUGUGGCGAGAGGAGAGAAUGCUCCAAUGUGAUUGGAAGCUACACGUGUCAGUGUCUAUCAGGAUUUACUGACUAUGGCAACCAAAAAGCUAAGUGUCAAGAGCUGAAUUGUGACCAGUAUGAAAAAUCGAGUACAUCUGGACAGAGUCUACCAGGUUUUAACCGUAUUCUAUCUCUUAUGAGAAGAAACUGUAUGACGUUGACUAAAACCGGACCUCUUGGAAUGAGUGGGAAUCUUGAUCCUGAGAAGCUUUUGACAGAACUGGUUGUCUUCACCGAUGAGUUUCAACUGGAUACUGAUAGUCACCAUGGUAACAGCAUGAACAUGACUGGGAUCCUGAGGACAGUGGAAUUAUCUGUUGGACAGAUUGCCCCACAGCUGAGACAGAAUGUGAGCAGAGAAGAGAAUAAUAACACAGAGGUGAAGGUUGUGGUGAAGAGGGAAAUAACUCCACCCCAAGGAGCAGUCAGACUGACCAAUGAGAACAGCCAACUUGACACCACCUGGGAGACUGUGAUUGGAGAGGAGUACCUAGGGUAUGGGUUUGCCAGUCUGUUCAGCUACAAAAGACUGGGGAAUCUGACCGACAAUUCUGAGCAGCAGUUACAGUCUGAAGUAGUGACAGUAAUCACUAGCAAUCCUAACACAGGAAAACUGCCCCAACCUGUCAGUCUCACCUUCACUCAUCUACAGGCUAGUGAUAUGAAAACCACCUGUGUUUAUUGGUCAGAGGUUGGAGGGGGGGGCGUGGUCAAGCCAAGGCUGCACCUCUGUGGGGUCUAACUCCACCCACACUGUGUGCUCCUGCGCCCAUCUCAGCAGCUUCGCCCUGCUCAGUGAAACACAAAAGAUGAAGGACGGGGGAAAGCUAUCAGUGAUGAUGUUGGUGUGCGUUUCCAUGGCAUUUGUGUUUGUGGUCCUAUCCCUGCUCACUGCCAUGUGGUGUCGCUUUUUCAGCAAAAAACACAAUGGAAGCAGCCAGCGGCUACAGCAAUCCUACCCCUAAAGCACUUCAAAUGUAUACAGUUGUCCAUCUCAAAUGUAACUUAAAAGCAGUUCAGAGAGCAACGUGCAUAGUAGGAUAAAAGAUCAGGCUACAUAGUAGCAAGGGGGUAAUGAGUGAGAUUGACCUGAACCGUGGCAGGAGUCUUUUGGAGAGAUGGUGACAAGGUUUAUAAAGGGUCAGAGAUUAUCUAUUUUAUUACAUUUAAAAAAAAAUUUACUUAAAGGACCAAUAAGCUAACUGAAUUGAAAUUUUACUGAAAACCCUAAAGAGGCAUUGUGCAGAUUUCUGCCUCUAUAGUUUACAAGACUGAAUUUGGACAAUAACACAACUUGACCACUCUUCCCUUAUUGAUCAAAACCAGAGUAGUAGUAGCUAGUCCAGGUUGGUUUAGUGUGAGUGUCUAAAGUGAAUAUGAGAGACUACAUAUCAAACUAAUCGAAGAACCAGUGAGACUGUUUGAACUGGGAAUAUCUCAGGCACUCUAAAGAAAAUUUGAGCCAUUAACUAAAAACCUGAUCUUCAGAUGUAUUUUGAUCAUUUAUGCUUGUAUUUAUGUUAGUAGUACAGUAAGAAUCAUACAUAUGACCCCUUUAACUGUAUCAGUAAUUUUUUUUUAAAUGUGAGUGGAACACUUUAAAGGAAUAUGUGAACUUUAAUUUUAAACCUCUCAAGUUAGGAGCUGCCUUUGAUGUCACCCAUGAAUGGACUGUAUGCACAAUACCAGUUCACAUGUAGAGUUCCAGACAAACGUUUGGACACACUUGCCUACUCACUUGAAUGGGUGUGUCCAAACCUUUGACUGGUACUGUAUGUAAAUGCUAAUGUCAAAAUAACAGAAAAUCAUAGAUAUGUAUGUAUUAGUACUGAUCAUGAGGAUUGUAAUAUUCAAGUGAAAUUAAUAUAAUGUAGAUUUCCAUAUAAAUGUAUACAGGCUUUCAUAGUAAACAUUGUGCUUUGAGCUUAUCAUUCACUUGUCAUGUGUAUUACAUAACUCAUGUGGAAAAGAGCAACUUAAAAGAUGGUUCAUCUAAAAAUCAUAUUUGGGUGAAAUACCCCCUACCGUGUGUAAAGGUCCAUAUUUUCAUAAUCCACAAUAAACCAUUGUUUACUUCUACCUCAGCCCAGAGUUAGCUUUAGUAUAAUAGAAAUUCAUAAAUAUCUCUUUAACACUUUAUCUCCAUUCCCCUGUGGGUGAUUGAGCAACUGAUUAUGUGAGAGAGUAAGGA
This is a long non-coding RNA of Esox lucius (northern pike), 2401 nucleotides long. RefSeq annotates it as adhesion G protein-coupled receptor E5. The transcript is spliced from 10 exons. NCBI's taxonomy places the organism in Eukaryota, Metazoa, Chordata, Actinopteri, Esociformes, Esocidae. The record is from RefSeq and is a predicted model, not a curated record.